UACGAAGGGGGCUAGCGUUGUUCGGAAUCACUGGGCGUAAAGCGCACGUAGGCGGAUCUUUUAAGUCAGAGGUGAAAUCCCAAGGCUCAACCUUGGAACUGCCCUUGAUACUGAGGAUCUUGAGUUCGGGAGAGGUGAGUGGAACUGCGAGUGUAGAGGUGAAAUUCGUAGAUAUUCGCAAGAACACCAGUGGCGAAGGCGGCUCACUGGCCCGAUACUGACGCUGAGGCACGGAA
Molecule: ribosomal RNA, 236 nt
Filed under: uncultured bacterium
Lineage: Bacteria
Description: partial 16S ribosomal RNA
Rfam family: Bacterial small subunit ribosomal RNA
Source: RNAcentral